Molecule: long non-coding RNA, 169 nt
Organism: Physeter macrocephalus (sperm whale)
Lineage: Eukaryota; Metazoa; Chordata; Mammalia; Artiodactyla; Physeteridae
Exons: 3
Source: RefSeq, a predicted model, not a curated record
CGGAUGGCCUAUAGGUCGCCAUUUUUGAUGUAUACCGAGGGAUGGAAUUGCUGGGUCGUAUGAUAGUUCUGUUUUUAGUUUUUUGAGAAACCUCCAUAGCGUUUUCCACAGUGCACCACUACAGGGGACACGGGUUCCAGCCCUGAUCUGGGAAGAUCCCACAUGCCGC